UUUUCCUACGGGGGGCAGCAGUAAGGGAUAUUGGUCAAUGGGGGAAACCCUGAACCAGCAACGCUGCGUGAGGGAAGACGGUCCUAUGGAUUGUAAACCUCUUUUGCCGGGGAGCAAAAAGCGGUACGUGUACCGCAUCGAGAGUACCCGGAGAAAAAGCAUCGGCUAACUCCGUGCCAGCAGCCGCGGUAAUACGGAGGAUGCGAGCGUUAUCCGGAUUUAUUGGGUUUAAAGGGUGCGCAGGCGGCGAGUUAAGUCAGCGGUAAAAUUUCGGGGCUCAACCCCGACGAGCCGUUGAAACUGGC
Molecule: ribosomal RNA, 305 nt
Filed under: uncultured bacterium
Lineage: Bacteria
Description: bacterial SSU rRNA
Rfam family: Bacterial small subunit ribosomal RNA
Source: RNAcentral